UUUUUUUUUUGUCAGAUAAAGAGUGCUACAUUAAGGGUGCUACGAUCAGCAAAACAUGCAGUACCACAUGUUAAUAAAAUUACAAUAAUGAGAUAUUUGCAUAAAUUAUGCUUCAUACCUUCACCGAAAACAUUUCAACUGGAAACAUAACAUAUGCGACUAUUAUUUUUAACCCAUGCAUUGCAGAAUUUAAUUUACUUAAAAUGGUUACAG
This 213-nucleotide unclassified non-coding RNA is filed under the name Hevea brasiliensis (rubber tree). The record is from RNAcentral. Lineage: Eukaryota; Viridiplantae; Streptophyta; Magnoliopsida; Malpighiales; Euphorbiaceae.